This is a long non-coding RNA of Bubalus bubalis (water buffalo), 1492 nucleotides long. RefSeq lists it as uncharacterized. NCBI's taxonomy places the organism in Eukaryota, Metazoa, Chordata, Mammalia, Artiodactyla, Bovidae. The transcript is spliced from 3 exons. The record is from RefSeq and is a predicted model, not a curated record.
AUAUAAUCUCUUGCUUUGUCAGCACAUGUGUCUCCUCGGACAAUUCAUUUCCAAGUGUUAGACAAGAGCCCAGUUUCGGGCCCUGGAAGGGGUCCGCCUUCCUACAACAAACUGAUUUGGGGUAACAACGGUGGCUAAUAUCCCCUUCACCAAGCCAAAUGGCACUGUCACUGAGAACAGCUCAUCGUCACUAGUUAGUCUUGGGUAAAAGAUAAAUUAGAAGUUUCCACUUCUCAGCUCCAAUUGCUGGGUUACAGAAAACUUAGUUCCAUCCUCCCUUCCAGACACUUACUAAUUUUGGAGAAGAUGGAAACCUUUGCUGGUGAGAAACCCCAAUUAGAAAGAUAAGACAGUCAAGCCAGGAAAGGAGGGAGUAGGGGGAAGAGUGGGACCAGAGCCUGAAAGGAGGAAAUCACACCCACACCAGAGUCCAGGCAAGGUUUGUAGUUCCCACAAAGAAAUCAGAAAACUCAAAACAGGAAGAAAGAGAUGGGGAAACUGGAUAAUAAACAAAUUGACUUGUUAAGGUCAAACAACCAAGUGGAGGGAUUUGAACUCAGCUGUACUGACUCCAGAGCUUUUAGCUCCUACCUUAUAUAAGACCCUAGAAUCUCCCAGAAAUCCUGAAGUGGACAUUCCAGCGCCUCUUCAGCCCACUCCUAGCUACUUGAGCCCCGGCUCUCAGGAAUCCAACAGUGCCACCUUUAAGGCCUCACUCACAAUUCUGACACCUGCAUCCUGGCUCCUAUAGAAACUCCUUCCCUCUUCUCAAUGUAUGUGAUGUUGAGAGAACUGCAGGAUGAAUGGGGAAGGCAUAAUCAUAAUGUUAAUGGGGCUUUUAGACAUGCAAAUGUAUGUUCCUAGCAGGGAUGAGCUGAACAAAGUCAGGAUGGACAAGUCUCAGAGCCCCAGAUGUGUGAUGUUGGGAGGAGGGGGCCAAGAAAUGAUGAAAGGAAACAUAAGGGCUAUUUAGAAAAAAUGGGACAUUUGAAGGACCCAGUGAGAGGUGUGUCAAUGGACAGACAGCAUGAGAAAGUCGGGAAAGAAGUCUGAGUGCCUGCAAGGAGCAUAGUUCAGAGAAUUCUUGAAAACCAGAGAGCAGGAGAGGAGCCUGGGUGGGGAACUGCUCAAAGCUGGGGGCUUUGUGUGCUCAAAGAGCUUCAGGACAGGAGGCCAUGGGAGCCUGGCUGAUCAGGCUGUCAGGUAGAUUCUAAACAGUUUCAACCUGGGACCUAGCACUCACAUAGAAAUCAGGCUGAAAGGAUCUGGCUUCCCAUUAAUGAGUUAAGCUGAAAUGUGAACCUAGGCUUUUGCUAUGUCUAACAUUUGAACCUUGCAUUUCUUCCCACUGUAAUAAUGCAUUUCACAGAGCUAGCUAAAAAUCCUGGCAAUGUGAACCCCAGGAGACUCAAAGGACAUAUGAACAGCCCUGGUUUUGUGUCUAACCUGCAUCAGUGUCUACCUAGGCCCCAAUAAAUUGCUCUUCUCUUAA